GGGUUGUGAGGUUAAGCGACUAAGCGUACACGGUGGAUGCCCUGGCAGUCAGAGGCGAUGAAGGACGUGCUAAUCUGCGAAAAGCGUCGGUAAGGUGAUAUGAACCGUUAUAACCGGCGAUGUCCGAAUGGGGAAACCCAGUGUGAUUCGUCACACUAUCGUUAACUGAAUACAUAGGUUAACGAGGCGAACCGGGGGAACUGAAACAUCUAAGUACCCCGAGGAAAAGAAAUCAACCGAGAUUCCCCCAGUAGCGGCGAGCGAACGGGGAGCAGCCCAGAGUCUGAAUCAGCUUGUGUGUUAGUGGAACGGUCUGGAAAGUCCGACGGUACAGGGUGAUAGUCCCGUACACCAAAAUGCACAGGUUGUGAACUCGAAGAGUAGGGCGGGACACGUGGUAUCCUGUCUGAAUAUGGGGGGACCAUCCUCCAAGGCUAAAUACUCCUGACUGACCGAUAGUGAACCAGUACCGUGAGGGAAAGGCGAAAAGAAC
Molecule: ribosomal RNA, 493 nt
Filed under: Klebsiella pneumoniae
Lineage: Bacteria; Pseudomonadati; Pseudomonadota; Gammaproteobacteria; Enterobacterales; Enterobacteriaceae
Also listed under: 2 other names
Description: partial 23S ribosomal RNA
Rfam family: Bacterial large subunit ribosomal RNA
Source: RNAcentral